Molecule: ribosomal RNA, 430 nt
Filed under: Glaciozyma sp.
Lineage: Eukaryota; Fungi; Basidiomycota; Microbotryomycetes; Kriegeriales; Camptobasidiaceae
Description: partial large subunit ribosomal RNA
Rfam family: Eukaryotic large subunit ribosomal RNA
Source: RNAcentral
GAGUUGUAAUCUCGAGAAGUGUUUUCCGCGCCGGACCGCAUACAAGUCUGUUGGAAUACAGCGUCAUAGUGGUGAGAGCCCCGUAAUUGAUGCGGAUGCCCGGUGCUUUGUGAUACACUUUCGAAGAGUCGAGUUGUUUGGGAAUGCAGCUCAAAUUGGGUGGUAAAUUCCAUCUAAAGCUAAAUAUUGGCGAGAGACCGAUAGCGAACAAGUACCGUGAGGGAAAGAUGAAAAGCACUUUGGAAAGAGAGUUAACAGUACGUGAAAUUGUUGGAAGGGAAACGCUUGAAGUCAGACUUGCUAUUCGGAAUUCAGCCGCAAGGUGUACUUUUCGAUUUGCAGGCCAGCAUCAGUUUUUGGGGGUGAAAAAGGGUGAAAAGAAGGUAGCAACCUUGGUUGUGUUAUAGCUUUUCGCUGGAUUCAUCUUUGG